UGCAUAGUGUACACGGCUGUCACGUGACAAAAGAACGAACGACUUGGACCAGAAGACUCGAGAGAGAAAAGCGGCUUUAGUCCAGUAAGAUGAAAGAAAAUGAUCUGCAAAAAUUGACGACAACACACUCUCGUGGGAUUCUCUGUACUCCCCUCCCUUGGUCGGUGUGGCCUGAACCCUGACAUUUUACAUUCUUUACUUACUCUGUUCUGCAGUGAGAGAAUCUAACCAUCGAAGUGAGGUGAGGGAAAAGUCGAUGAGCCUUGCAGGUGCGACAACACUCACAGAGGGCAGACAAGAUGAGAAAACACCCUGCAGCCUUGGGUGGGAGUGAGGAUAUAUGUGUGUGUGUAUUUAAUCUCUGACUCCUUGUGUCUCACACACUCACACAGACACAAACAAAAACCGAGAUCUUCUUGAUUGCUCUUUUGACUGGCUUUGACUUGGACUUGGUCACACUAACAAAAAAGUACUAUAAUAUUACCAUGUUUUUGGACUUAUGCCAUGGUAAUACAAUGUUUUUUGGACAUGUAAUAUGUUUUUAAACAAGUAUCAUGGUAAUACCAUGUUUUUGGACAUGUACCAUAGUAAUACCGUGUCUUUUGACAAGUACCAUGGUACCUGUAUGUUUUUUUUUACAUUUACUAUGGUAAUACUAUGUUGUUGUUUUUUUUUUUUUUUUGUUUUUGUUUAUAAAUGUACCAUGGUUAUUUCAUGUUUUGGACAUGUACCAUGGUAAUAUGAUGUUUUUGGACAUGUUCUGUGGUGAUACCAAGGUUUUAUGAACAUGAACCAUGCUAAUACAAUGUUAUUUUGACGUACUAUUGUGAUGUUUUUAUUUAUAUAUUUUUUUACAUGUACCAUGGUUAUACCAUGUUUUUAAACAAGAACUGUACCAUGUUAAUAACCUACCAUUUUUUUUUUUUUUUUAUUGUAUGCUUUUUGAACAUACUGUAUACUAUGGUAAUACUAUUUAUGUAACAUGGAAAUGCCAUGUUUUUUGUGCAAGCACAUGUUCUAUGAAUGUAUGGUGAUAAAGUUUUUUGAACACGUGCCUAAGUAAUACCUUGGUUUUUGUACAAGUACCAUGGUACUUGCUUGCUUUUUGAACUUAUACCUUUGUAAUACCUGUACCAUGUUUUUCAAGGACAAGUACCAUGGUAAUUCCCUUUUUUGGACAAAUACCGUGGUUUUUGCAUGCUCUUAGAACAUAUACCAUGGUAAGGCUAUG
Myxocyprinus asiaticus (Chinese sucker) is the source of this 1231-nucleotide long non-coding RNA. RefSeq lists it as uncharacterized. The record is from RefSeq and is a predicted model, not a curated record. Lineage: Eukaryota; Metazoa; Chordata; Actinopteri; Cypriniformes; Catostomidae. The transcript is spliced from 3 exons.